AUAGCUAAUGGUACCAAUUUGAAUGGGCCUGAUCUCAUCUGCUCUCAGAAGCUAAGUGAGGUCCAGCCUGAGGGGAGAAGUUAGAAAGUGGCUUGUCCAGGACUCAGGGGAAGCAGCUGUC
Cricetulus griseus (Chinese hamster) is the source of this 121-nucleotide ribosomal RNA. NCBI's taxonomy places the organism in Eukaryota, Metazoa, Chordata, Mammalia, Rodentia, Cricetidae. The record is from Ensembl.